RNAcentral lists this ribosomal RNA (367 nucleotides) under uncultured bacterium. RNAcentral's name for it is "bacterial SSU rRNA". It matches the Rfam family "Bacterial small subunit ribosomal RNA", at positions 145 to 507 of the family's 1533-position model. The record is from RNAcentral.
AACGUAGCGAAAGUUACGCUAAUACCGCAUAUUCUGUGAGCAGGAAANCAGGGGAUCGCAAGACCUUGCGCUGAUUGAGCGGCCGAUAUCAGAUUAGCUAGUUGGUGAGGUAAAGGCUCACCAAGGCGACGAUCUGUAGCGGGUCUGAGAGGAUGAUCCGCCACACUGGAACUGAGACACGGUCCAGACUCCUACGGGAGGCAGCAGUGGGGAAUUUUGGACAAUGGGCGCAAGCCUGAUCCAGCCAUGCCGCGUGAGUGAAGAAGGCCUUCGGGUUGUAAAGCUCUUUCGGCCGGGAAGAAAUCGCACAGGUUAAUACCCUGUGUGGAUGACGGUACCGGAAUAAGAAGCACCGGCUAACUACGUG